GGGGUGCAGCAGGCGCGAACACUUUACAAUGCGGGAAACCGCGAUAAGGGAACCCCGAGUGCCAGCAUCAAAUGUUGGCUGUCCAGAUGAUUAAAAAUCAUUUGUUAGCAAGGGCCGGGCAAGACCGGUGCCAGCCGCCGCGGUAACACCGGCGGCCCGAGUGGUAGCCGUUUUUAUUGGGUCUAAAGGGUCCGUAGCCGGCCUGAUAAGUCCUUUGGGAAAUCUGGCAGCUUAACUGUCAGGCUUCUAAGGGAUACUGUCAGGCUUGGGACCGGAAGAGGUAAGGGGUACUCCAGGGGUAGGAGUGAAAUCUUGUAAUCCCUGGGGGACCAUCUGUGGCGAAGGCGCCUUACCAGAACGGGUCCGACGGUGAGGGACGAAAGCUAGGGGAGCAAACCGGAUUAGAUACCCGGGUAGUCCUAGCUGUAAACGAUGCUCGCUAGGUGUCAGACACGGUGCGACCGUGUUUGGUGCCGCAGGGAAGCCGUUAAGCGAGCCACCUGGAAGUACGUCGCAAGGC
This 520-nucleotide ribosomal RNA is filed under the name uncultured archaeon. Its description in RNAcentral is "bacterial SSU rRNA". It matches the Rfam family "Archaeal small subunit ribosomal RNA", at positions 327 to 849 of the family's 1478-position model. The record is from RNAcentral.